UUCGGUGGCGAUGGCAAAGGUGUCACACCCGUAUCCAUCCCGAACACGGCAGUUAAGCCCUUUAGCGCCGAUGGUACUGCACGGGAGUCUGUGUGGGAGAGUAGGACGCCGCCGGAU
This 117-nucleotide ribosomal RNA is filed under the name Desulfamplus sp. The record is from RNAcentral. Lineage: Bacteria; Pseudomonadati; Thermodesulfobacteriota; Desulfobacteria; Desulfobacterales; Desulfobacteraceae.